AAACUUACCUGGCAGGGAAAGGCUUGCCCAUUGCACUCGGGGCGUGCUGACCCCUGCGAUUUCCCCAAAUGUGGGAAACUCAACUGCAUAAUUUAUGGUAGUGGGGAAACUCAACUGUAUAAUUUAUGGUAGUGGGGGACUGCGUGCGUGCUCUCCCCUG
Suncus etruscus (white-toothed pygmy shrew) is the source of this 160-nucleotide small nuclear RNA. RefSeq annotates it as U1 spliceosomal RNA. The record is from RefSeq and is a predicted model, not a curated record. The transcript has a single exon. Lineage: Eukaryota; Metazoa; Chordata; Mammalia; Eulipotyphla; Soricidae.